AUGCAGAUCUUCGUGAAGACGCCGACAGGGAAGACGGUGACCCUGGAGGUCGAGAGCACCGACACCAUCGGCAACGUCAAGGCCAAGAUUGACGGCAAGGAAGGCUUGUCUCCGGAGCAGCAGCGGCUCAUCUUCGGCGGGAAGCCGCUGGAGGACGACUGCAGCCUGGCCGAGUACGACGUCAACGAGGACUCCACUCUUCACCUGCCGCUUCGUCUGCCCGGGGGGUUUCGCGGCUGCAAGGGUUAUUGCAGGGACGACAGCCUCACAGCCCUCGCAGAAAGCUACAACACAAACAAGAAGAUCUGCCGCAAAUGCUAUGCUCGGCUACCUCCUAGGGCAACAAACUGUCGCAAGAAGAAGUGUGGCCACACCACUCAGCUGAGGCCAAAGAAGAUCUGGAGGUACUACUAA
This 414-nucleotide ribosomal RNA is filed under the name Triticum aestivum (bread wheat). RNAcentral's name for it is "partial small subunit ribosomal RNA". Lineage: Eukaryota; Viridiplantae; Streptophyta; Magnoliopsida; Poales; Poaceae. The record is from RNAcentral.